UGGGGAAUAUUGCACAAUGGGCGCAAGCCUGAUGCAGCCAUGCCGCGUGUGUGAAGAAGGCCUUCGGGUUGUAAAGCACUUUCAGCGGGGAGGAAGGCGAUAAGGUUAAUAACCUUGUCGAUUGACGUUACCCGCAGAAGAAGCACCGGCUAACUCCGUGCCAGCAGCCGCGGUAAUACGGAGGGUGCAAGCGUUAAUCGGAAUUACUGGGCGUAAAGCGCACGCAGGCGGUUUGUUAAGUCAGAUGUGAAAUCCCGGGCUCAACCUGGGAACUGCAUCUGAUACUGGCAAGCUUGAGUCUCGUAGAGGGGGGUAGAAUUCCAGGUGUAGCGGUGAAAUGCGUAGAGAUCUGGAGGAAUACCGGUGGCGAAGGCGGCCCCCUGGACGAAGACUGACGCUCAGGUGCGAAAGCGUGGGGAGCAAACAGG
RNAcentral lists this ribosomal RNA (428 nucleotides) under Chloroflexota bacterium. Its description in RNAcentral is "Chloroflexi bacterium partial 16S ribosomal RNA". It matches the Rfam family "Bacterial small subunit ribosomal RNA", at positions 355 to 776 of the family's 1533-position model. Lineage: Bacteria; Bacillati; Chloroflexota. The record is from RNAcentral.